UCAAAGCUACUAUAUGUCUUCUUCUCCUUCAAGAUUUUCAAAAUCUUGAAUUCCUCGGUUAUCUUCAUAUUGCUCGUCAUCUUCUUCUUCCCCUUCCUCUUCAUAAUCAUUCUCAUCUUCAUCAAUGGAUAGACUUAGUAACCACACUUUUCCCUUCCUAAUUGAACUUGAACUUGGAGUACAACUCCUUAAACUAUAAGGAUCCUCCC
Molecule: long non-coding RNA, 209 nt
Filed under: Nicotiana benthamiana
Lineage: Eukaryota; Viridiplantae; Streptophyta; Magnoliopsida; Solanales; Solanaceae
Description: long non-coding RNA (NBEN_LNC036276)
Source: RNAcentral